This 155-nucleotide ribosomal RNA is filed under the name Origanum onites. Its description in RNAcentral is "5.8S ribosomal RNA". It matches the Rfam family "5.8S ribosomal RNA". Rfam says of the family: 5.8S ribosomal RNA (5.8S rRNA) is a component of the large subunit of the eukaryotic ribosome. The record is from RNAcentral. Lineage: Eukaryota; Viridiplantae; Streptophyta; Magnoliopsida; Lamiales; Lamiaceae.
CUCGGCAACGGAUAUCUCGGCUCUCGCAUCGAUGAAGAACGUAGCGAAAUGUGAUACUUGGUGUGAAUUGCAGAAUCCCGUGAACCAUCGAGUCUUUGAACGCAAGUUGCGCCCGAAGCCAUUAGGCUGAGGGCACGUCUGCCUGGGCGUCACGC